AUUGAACGCUGGCGGCAGGCCUAACACAUGCAAGUCGAACGGUAACAGGAAGAAGCUUGCUUCUUUGCUGACGAGUGGCGGACGGGUGAGUAAUGUCUGGGAAACUGCCUGAUGGAGGGGCAUAACUACUGGAAACGGUAGCUAAUACCGCAUAACGUCGCAAGACCAAAGAGGGGGACCUUCGGGCCUCUUGCCAUCGGAUGUGCCCAGAUGGGAUUAGCUAGUAGGUGGGGUAACGGCUCACCUAGGCGACGAUCCCUAGCUGGUCUGAGAGGAUGACCAGCCACACUGGAACUGAGACACGGUCCAGACUCCUACGGGAGGCAGCAGUGGGGAAUAUUGCACAAUGGGCGCAAGCCUGAUGCAGCCAUGCCGCGUGUAUGAAGAAGGCCUUCGGGUUGUAAAGUACUUUCAGCGGGGAGGAAGGGAGUAAAGUUAAUACCUUUGCUCAUUGACGUUACCCGCAGAAGAAGCACCGGCUAACUCCGUG
This 490-nucleotide ribosomal RNA is filed under the name uncultured bacterium. RNAcentral's name for it is "partial 16S ribosomal RNA". It matches the Rfam family "Bacterial small subunit ribosomal RNA", at positions 30 to 507 of the family's 1533-position model. The record is from RNAcentral.